This 408-nucleotide ribosomal RNA is filed under the name Roseobacter sp. CC67. RNAcentral describes it as "bacterial SSU rRNA". It matches the Rfam family "Bacterial small subunit ribosomal RNA", at positions 20 to 456 of the family's 1533-position model. The record is from RNAcentral. Lineage: Bacteria; Pseudomonadati; Pseudomonadota; Alphaproteobacteria; Rhodobacterales; Roseobacteraceae.
UGGCUCAGAACGAACGCUGGCGGCACGCCUAACACAUGCAAGUCGAGCGGGAUCUUCGGAUCUAGCGGCGGACGGGUUAGUAACGCGUGGGAACGUACCCAGAUCUACGGAAUAGCCUCGGGAAACUGAGAGUAAUACCGUAUACGCCCUUCGGGGGAAAGAUUUAUCGGAUUUGGAUCGGCCCGCGUAAGAUUAGAUAGUUGGUGGGGUAAUGGCCUACCAAGUCUACGAUCUUUAGCUGGUUUGAGAGGAUGAUCAGCAACACUGGGACUGAGACACGGCCCAGACUCCUACGGGAGGCAGCAGUGGGGAAUCUUAGACAAUGGGCGCAAGCCUGAUCUAGCGAUGCCGCGUGAGUGAUGAAAGCCUUAGGGUCGUAAAGCUCUUUCGCCUGUGAAGAUAAUGACG